UUAUUCUGUAAAUUUAAAAUUUAAAUUAUUAAUAGACUAGGGUCUUAAAAGUUAAAAAAUUUGGCGGUAUUUUAUUCAAUUCAGAGGAACCUGUUCUGUAAUCGAUAGUCCACGAUUAAUUUUACUUUAAUUAUGCUUUGUAUAUCGUUGUUUUAAUUGAAUGUUUUAAUAGAAUGAUUUAAAUUUUCUAUAAUUUAAAAUAUUAAUUUAUUUCAGAUCAAGGUGCAGGUUAUUAAAGUAGAAAUGGGUUACAUUAUUUUUAUAAAUAUGGAUUUAAUUAUUAGUUUUUUAUUGAAAUUGGAUUUGAUUGUAAAAGGUUAUAUAUAUGAUUUUUGAUUAAUUGCUCUAAAAUGUGC
RNAcentral lists this ribosomal RNA (356 nucleotides) under Cantharidae sp. CO1088. RNAcentral describes it as "partial 12S ribosomal RNA". Lineage: Eukaryota; Metazoa; Arthropoda; Insecta; Coleoptera; Cantharidae. The record is from RNAcentral.